UAGGGAAUCUUCGGCAAUGGGGGGAACCCUGACCGAGCAACGCCGCGUGAGUGAAGAAGGUUUUCGGAUCGUAAAGCUCUGUUGUUAAGGAAGAACGAGUGUGAGAAUGGAAAGUUCAUACUGUGACGGUACUUAACCAGAAAGGGACGGCUAACUACGUGCCAGCAGCCGCGGUAAUACGUAGGUCCCGAGCGUUGUCCGGAUUUAUUGGGCGUAAAGCGAGCGCAGGCGGUUAGAUAAGUCUGAAGUUAAAGGCAGUGGCUCAACCAUUGUAGGCUUUAGAAACUGUUUAACUUGAGUGCAGAAGGGGAGAGUGGAAUUCCAUGUGUAGCGGUGAAAUGCGUAGAUAUAUGGAGGAACGCCGGUGGCGAAAGCGGCUCGCUGGUCUGUAACUGACGCUGAGGCUCGAAAGCGUGGGUAGCAAACAGG
Molecule: ribosomal RNA, 429 nt
Filed under: Bacteroidota bacterium
Lineage: Bacteria; Pseudomonadati; Bacteroidota
Description: Bacteroidetes bacterium partial 16S ribosomal RNA
Rfam family: Bacterial small subunit ribosomal RNA
Source: RNAcentral